Ipomoea nil (Japanese morning glory) is the source of this 98-nucleotide long non-coding RNA. RefSeq lists it as uncharacterized. The record is from RefSeq and is a predicted model, not a curated record. The transcript is spliced from 3 exons. NCBI's taxonomy places the organism in Eukaryota, Viridiplantae, Streptophyta, Magnoliopsida, Solanales, Convolvulaceae.
UCAAGAAGGUUCCCUCAUAAAAGGACGUUUUUGCCCUCUCUAUAACGGUGGAUGGAUGACAAUUGUAACGGAGGACCAAAUUGGGUAUGAUUUUACAA